UACUGGCAGGAUCAACCAGGUAGCAUUCCUUCGCGACGCCGACGCCCGCAUGAGGCCCGACGAGCCGUGCGGCCCUUGGACGCUCAAGACGGGCGCGGCAGUCGUUCGUGUCGAGGGACGAAAUGCGUUGCUUGGGCAAACGGAGGCCGAGAGACCCCGCACCCGCGCAUAACAUUCUGCAUCCGAGAGCACGGGCAGAGCAACUCAUGGGCCAAGGCAACCACGCAAGCGGGCGAGGCAUGCCAGGAACACGAGGCUCGCCUUGCGUCCACCCCACCACCCGCGAGGGC
RNAcentral lists this unclassified non-coding RNA (290 nucleotides) under Protium demerarense. RNAcentral describes it as "partial external transcribed spacer". Lineage: Eukaryota; Viridiplantae; Streptophyta; Magnoliopsida; Sapindales; Burseraceae. The record is from RNAcentral.